Molecule: ribosomal RNA, 497 nt
Filed under: uncultured bacterium
Lineage: Bacteria
Description: partial 16S ribosomal RNA
Rfam family: Bacterial small subunit ribosomal RNA
Source: RNAcentral
GAUGAACGCUGGCGGCGUGCCUAAUACAUGCCAGUCGAGCGAACAGACGAGGAGCUUGCUCCUCUGACGUUAGCGGCGGACGGGUGAGUAACACGUGGAUAACCUACCUAUAAGACUGGGAUAACUUCGGGAAACCGGAGCUAAUACCGGAUAAUAUAUUGAACCGCAUGGUUCAAUAGUGAAAGACGGUUUUGCUGUCACUUAUAGAUGGAUCCGCGCCGCAUUAGCUAGUUGGUAAGGUAACGGCUUACCAAGGCAACGAUGCGUAGCCGACCUGAGAGGGUGGUCGGCCACACGGGAACUGAGACACGGUCCAGACUCCUACGGGAGGCAGCAGUAGGGAAUCUUCCGCAAUGGGCGAAAGCUUGACGGAGCAACGCCGCGUGAGUGAUGAAGGUCUUCGGAUCGUAAAACUCUGUUAUUAGGGAAGAACAAAUGUGUAAGUAACUAUGCACGUCUUGACGGUACCUAAUCAGAAAGCCACGGCUAACUACGUG